This 460-nucleotide ribosomal RNA is filed under the name uncultured bacterium. RNAcentral describes it as "partial 16S ribosomal RNA". It matches the Rfam family "Bacterial small subunit ribosomal RNA", at positions 338 to 795 of the family's 1533-position model. The record is from RNAcentral.
CCUACGGGAGGCAGCAGUGAGGAAUAUUGGUCAAUGGACGCAAGUCUGAACCAGCCAUGCCGCGUGAGGGAAGACUGCCCUAUGAGUUGUAAACUGCUUUUGUACGGGGAUAAACGCGUAUACGUGUAGCUGUCUGAAGGUAUCGUACGAAUAAGGACCGGCUAAUUCCGUGCCAGCAGCCGCGGUAAUACGGAGGAUUCAAGCGUUAUCCGGAUUUAUUGGGUUUAAAGGGUGCGUAGGCGGUCGGAUAAGUUAGAGGUGAAAUCCCGAGGCUCAACCUCGGAAUUGCGUCUGAUACUGGUCGGCUAGAGAGUAGGUACGGUAGGCGGAAUGUAUGGUGUAGCGGUGAAAUGCUUAGAGAUCAUACAGAACACCGAUUGCGAAGGCAGCUUACCAAGCUACUUCUGACGUUGAGGCACGAAAGCGUGGGGAGCAAACAGGAUUAGAUACCCUUGUAGUC